RNAcentral lists this unclassified non-coding RNA (444 nucleotides) under Hevea brasiliensis (rubber tree). Lineage: Eukaryota; Viridiplantae; Streptophyta; Magnoliopsida; Malpighiales; Euphorbiaceae. The record is from RNAcentral.
UGAUUUUGUAUUAUGGAAAAUACUAUUUAAAUAGUAUUCCUAUUUUAGUGAAAUUAAUUAGUUGGUCUAUUUAUUUUAAAAAAUAUAUUCUUGAAUAUAAAAAUUUUACUAUAUGAAGUUUUUUAAAAAAAAUUUUCAAUUCUUUAGACGUCAUUUUUAUUUUUCUCUACUUUAAAAUAAUUUUUCUUAAUUAUUUGGAAAUUUAAGGAAACUGGUUAACUUUUUUAUAUAGAUAGCUUGUAUCACAAAAUGAAAACAAAGGGAGAAUGAGGGGGAGAAGAGUGUGUGCAUAGAGAAAAAGAAACAUGGAGAGAAAAUAAGGAAAGAUAAAGAAAGAAAUAAAGGGGACAUGAUUAGGAUAGUUUGGGUAGGGUUGUUAGACUUGGACUAGUUAUAAAAUCGAUGAAGGCAUACGGUUAAGGGUUUAAGGUUCAACGGUGGUUG